UAGGGAAUCUUCGGCAAUGGGGGCAACCCUGACCGAGCAACGCCGCGUGAGUGAAGAAGGUCUUCGGAUCGUAAAAUUCUGUUGUUAGAGAAGAACACGAGUGAGAGUGGAAAGUUCACACAGUGACGGUAACUUACCAGAAAGGGACGGCUAACUACGUGCCUG
RNAcentral lists this ribosomal RNA (165 nucleotides) under uncultured bacterium. RNAcentral's name for it is "partial 16S rRNA". It matches the Rfam family "Bacterial small subunit ribosomal RNA", at positions 355 to 511 of the family's 1533-position model. The record is from RNAcentral.